Molecule: long non-coding RNA, 1388 nt
Filed under: Ananas comosus (pineapple)
Lineage: Eukaryota; Viridiplantae; Streptophyta; Magnoliopsida; Poales; Bromeliaceae
Description: long non-coding RNA (ACOM_LNC009419)
Source: RNAcentral
UUUUUUUCCUUUUUUUAGUCUAAAGUUUUUUUUUUUUUGAGAGAAAUAGGUAGCACGCUAUGGGCAUGUUUGUUUGGGUGGAAGUGAGGUGGAAGUGGAGAGGAGGGAAGUCGUUUUCACCCUAAACGGCCACUUCCGUUGUUUGGUUCGCCGUAAAAAAAUUACGCUCGAAACUCGAGUUAAUCUCAAACGGCGUAAUUGACUUUGCCCCAUUGUGGACCGAAGUCAAUUACGAUGAAGAGAGGUGAAGAAAAACUAAUAAAAUAAUAUAAUAGAUAAAGAUAGUUAUAUUUAAAUAUACUUAAUUAUGUUACUAAUUAUUUUUUUAUUUAGUUAAUAUAUCUAAAAUAUGAUAAAAAUUGAUUAGUUAAGUUUUAAUAUUUUCUUUAUUUUGUUUGUACAUUUAAAAUAUGAUAAAAGUUGAUUAAUUAAGUAUUAAUAUUUUUUUUACUUUAUAAUUUUAUUAUUGUAUUACUAUAAUUUAUGUAUAAAAAAAUUAUUUAGUUGUUUUAAAAUAAAUUUUAAUUAUAUAAAAAUAUACUUAUAUUAUUUUUAUUUAUUAAAAUAUUUAUUAUUUAUAUAUAAAUUAUAUUUUUAUAUCAUACACUUUUACCAAAUAAACAGUAGAACUAAUGGAACUUCACUUCCAUAGCUACGAAACAAACAGCGAGGAAGAAGUAGUUUUUACCGAACUCCACUUCAACCCAAAGUCAAGUUUCGGUGAAACAAACAUGCCCAUCCGCUUCGUUUAUUUCAUUUAGAAAUAAACUUAAUUGAAAUGCGAAUCAAUUAAGAUUCGAAUUUGAGAUCUCGGGUACCAACAACCAAGCCUUUUGCUACUUGCGCUAGAGACGAUCGGUGUCUAAAGUUAAUAGUUGUAUUUGUAGAUUUGGUCAUACUUGAUAUGCUGUUGAGAGUUUAUCCUUAUAAUUUAUAAAAUUAUUUAGUUUUUUGAAAAAGUAUAAAAAUUUUUUUAGAAAAAAAUAUUUUAUGAAAUUUUUUUUUAAUUUUUGCCAGUUUGGGUUUUUUUAAAAAAAUUGUGUUUUUGAAAAACUUUUUCUCUAUAUUUUAUAAAUUAGUAUUUUCAUUUUUCUGAAAAAAAUGGGCAAAAUGAAAACACUAGUUCUUUCAUGACAUUUGAUUUUUUUUUUAAAUCUAGUUUUUAUUGAAAGCAAAUGAACGUUAAACUGCACUACAACAGAAUUACGUUAUAGGAAAAUAUUUUUAGGACACUUUUAUAGAAGUAUCUCAUUUAUGCCAAUUUUUUUUAAAAAAAUCCACUAAGGCCUAAAUAUAAAGCCCAAUCCAAUCAAAAAUAAAAAAUUUUUUUACUCAAUCAACCCUACCCAACCUACUCGGUCCGAUUACAAAUAGAAAAGGAAAAAAAA